RNAcentral lists this transfer RNA (74 nucleotides) under Apilactobacillus kunkeei. RNAcentral describes it as "tRNA-Asn". It matches the Rfam family "tRNA". Rfam says of the family: Transfer RNA (tRNA) molecules are approximately 80 nucleotides in length. Their secondary structure includes four short double-helical elements and three loops (D, anti-codon, and T loops). The record is from RNAcentral. Lineage: Bacteria; Bacillati; Bacillota; Bacilli; Lactobacillales; Lactobacillaceae.
UUGCUCUAUGGUUCAAUGGUAGAACGGCGCACUGUUAAUGCGAUGGUUGCUGGUUCGAGUCCAGUUAGAGCAGU